Molecule: transfer RNA, 87 nt
Filed under: Candidatus Woesearchaeota archaeon CG_4_10_14_0_2_um_filter_33_13
Lineage: Archaea; Nanobdellati; Candidatus Woesearchaeota
Description: tRNA-Ile
Source: RNAcentral
GGCCCCAUAGCUUAGUCUGGUGGAGUGCCGCUCUUAUAAAGCGGUGGUCCCGGGUUCAAAUGCAAGCAAUCUAUGCAAGUUGGGCGG